AGUCGUUCUGCCCAUUGUUUUUAAAAGGCUGCGGUAUAUUAACUGUACAAAGGUAGCAAAAUAAAUAGUUUUUUAAUUGAAAACUUGAAUGAAAGAGUUGAUAAAAUAUAAAUUGUCUUAAAUAUUGAAUUUAAAUUAAAAGUUAAAAUGCUUUUAUAUUUUUAUUAGACGAUAAGACCCUAAGAAUUUUAUUAUUUAUUUUAUUUUUAUAAAUUUAUAAAGAAUGACUAAUUUUAUUGGGAGGGUAGAUAAAUUGAACUUUAAUUUAAUUAAAUAUUUUUUGAUAAAUUUAAUGAUUAUUAUUAAGAUUAUAAGAAUUAAUUACCUUAGGGAUAACAGCGUAAUAAUUUUGGAGAGUUCAUAUUGAUAAAAUUGUUUGCGACCUCGAUGUUGAAUUAAAAUAAAAAUUAAAUGGAGAAAUUUAAAUUUUUAGUCUGUUCGACUAUUAAAAUUUUAC
This 457-nucleotide ribosomal RNA is filed under the name Metapolybia unilineata. RNAcentral describes it as "partial large subunit ribosomal RNA". The stretch from base 332 to 457 matches the Rfam family "Bacterial large subunit ribosomal RNA", at positions 2473 to 2599 of the family's 2925-position model. The record is from RNAcentral. Lineage: Eukaryota; Metazoa; Arthropoda; Insecta; Hymenoptera; Vespidae.